GCGAACCGGGGGAACUGAAACAUCUAAGUACCCCGAGGAAAAGAAAUCAACCGAGAUUCCCCCAGUAGCGGCGAGCGAACGGGGAGGAGCCCAGAGCCUGAAUCAGCAUGUGUGUUAGUGGAAGCGUCUGGAAAGGCGCGCGAUACAGGGUGACAGCCCCGUACACAAAAGCGCAUGUGCUGUGAGCUCGAUGAGUAGGGCGGGACACGUGGUAUCCUGUCUGAAUAUGGGGGGACCAUCCUCCAAGGCUAAAUACUCCUGACUGACCGAUAGUGAACCAGUACCGUGAGGGAAAGGCGAAAAGAACCCCGGCGAGGGGAGUGAAAAAGAACCUGAAACCGUGUACGUACAAGCAGUGGGAGCCCCACCACCAAAGCAUUCUCUGGUGUUGAAGGCCCUGCAAAGCAGCAUCGCGGUGGCGGAGCGUCGUUUGCGACGCCCAACACACAAAACAAGCGGUGAGUGCUUUGGGGUGGGGUGACUGCGUACCUUUUGUAUAAUGGGUCAGCGACUUAUAUUCUGUAGCAAGGUUAACCG
Molecule: ribosomal RNA, 537 nt
Filed under: Salmonella enterica subsp. enterica serovar Kentucky
Lineage: Bacteria; Pseudomonadati; Pseudomonadota; Gammaproteobacteria; Enterobacterales; Enterobacteriaceae
Description: bacterial LSU rRNA
Rfam family: Bacterial large subunit ribosomal RNA
Source: RNAcentral